CAUUAGCUGUGGGACCCUGAGCAAGUCACCAUUGCUUAGCCAAAAACAAAACACAAAAACAAACAAAAUAACCGCUCUGAGUCUGGGUGGGUUAGGAGUCAUUUCAGAUUAUGUGCCUCUCAGGCUAUUUGUUUAUUUGUGGUGUUUAAAUUUUUUUUAAAAGUGAUACUUUGUUUUUUUCCAUCAUCUGCAUUUCCAGUUUUCUUCUCCUUCAAAGCAUCUUCUCUUUAUAACAGAGACUAAAAAAAAAAGACCCACAGAAAAAGUCUGACAGAUGAAGAGCUGAAACAAAGGAAAACAAUCUCUGGAUGAGGAAUAGAAAAAAAUUGCUAACAGGGAGAUGAAACACAAGAUAGAGAUGGGUAACAGAGCCUUUGAUGAAUUCAUGUAAUGAAUUACAUCCCAGGGUAUGGAAAGAACUGGCAGAGACCAUACUUCAUGUGAAAAGGUUUUUUGGUCUUAGAAGACUUUCUAUGAGGGUAACCCUUGGCUCAUGGGACCAACUGUAUGGGACUCUCUUUUCACUGGUGGAGAUUGAUUCCUCAAUGCUCCAAGCCUGUGUGGCUUGAGUGGCAGGCAAAGUUGGUAAGAGCUGGAGAUAAAGGACAUCCAGGGUCAUGGGGCUUCUAGUGCUGAAAGAGAAGACACACUAUUCCAAAUUCCCUUUAGGGCUCUGGGGAAAGAAAAACUCUGGGAAGAAGCUGACAUACAGAUGAACUGGCCAUCUCUAUCAUGUCCUUAUCCCCAGCUUACUACACUAGAAAAUUUGUUGGAAUUAUUCCAUCGGUGAGAUCUGGGACUCUCCCUUGAUUGAACUAAGUUAUCUUUCUCUCAAGGGGAGAGCUCAUUCACUCUAUACUGUCUAGUAUAUAUUCUUCUCUGUGUAUUGUCUCUGAUUUUUUUUUUUUGCUACCAAUAAAUGAGUUAAAUGGGUUUAUUUGCUAUGUGUGUUUAUUGUUCAACUGGCAUUUGGUGGGGAGUAAAGCCUUGGAUGUACAGCUUGGGGCCUUCUUUUCCUGUUAAAGGUUAGAAAUAAGGACAUAGCUUGGACAUAAAAAUUACUUCCCCCAGACCAAUCAUAUUUGUGGGAGCUGAUAGCCUGGCACCCCCUGUCUCUGAGAAGAGCAGAGUGUCCAUAUCUUUGGCUUUCCCUCCUGGCAGGAAUUAGUCUUCUUUGGAGAAAAGAUGGAGGAGAAAAUGCUAGAGAUAUCUAUUCUUGC
Molecule: non-coding RNA, 1220 nt
Organism: Phascolarctos cinereus (koala)
Lineage: Eukaryota; Metazoa; Chordata; Mammalia; Diprotodontia; Phascolarctidae
Source: RefSeq, a predicted model, not a curated record